This 468-nucleotide ribosomal RNA is filed under the name uncultured bacterium. Its description in RNAcentral is "partial 16S ribosomal RNA". It matches the Rfam family "Bacterial small subunit ribosomal RNA", at positions 28 to 507 of the family's 1533-position model. The record is from RNAcentral.
GACGAACGCUGGCGGCGUGCUUAACACAUGCAAGUCGAACGGAAAGGCCCUGCUUUUGUGGGGUGCUCGAGUGGCGAACGGGUGAGUAACACGUGAGUAACCUGCCCUUUACUUUGGGAUAACUUCAGGAAACUGGGGCUAAUACCGUAUAGGAGCUCCUGCUGCAUGGUGGGGGUUGGAAAGUUUCGGCGGUUGGGGAUGGACUCGCGGCUUAUCAGCUUGUUGGUGGGGUAGUGGCUUACCAAGGCUUUGACGGGUAGCCGGCCUGAGAGGGUGACCGGCCACAUUGGGACUGAGAUACGGCCCAGACUCCUACGGGAGGCAGCAGUGGGGAAUAUUGCACAAUGGGCGGAAGCCUGAUGCAGCAACGCCGCGUGCGGGAUGACGGCCUUCGGGUUGUAAACCGCUUUCGCCUGUGACGAAGCGUGAGUGACGGUAAUGGGUAAAGAAGCACCGGCUAACUACGUG